GUUUGUGCUAUACGUUUAUUUCGAAGACUAAACCAUGCUAUGUCAAGUUUAACUGGGAUUUUACAAGAGGAAAACGGCGAAAAGGCUCCAUAAAUCAGUUUUAAAGUAGAGAGGAAUGGUGGGGAUUUAUCCUACGAGAAUGAAAUGGAUAACUAUGGUAAUUCUAUAGCUAAUACAUGAGAGAAAGAGAGCAGAGUGAAAUCUGUUUUCGCAUAUAUUAGAUUGAAGUAUCGUUUGUUCGUGAAUGAGAAUAUAGAAUAGAAUUAGUUGGCAGACGGCAAAGCAAUUUGUCGCAACCUCUUUCUGAAUCUGAACUAUCAGAUUAAGUAGUUUAGGUAUUGGCUAAACUAGUCGAUGACGGUUACGAGAGAUUAGAGUUUGAUUUCGGAGAAAAGGCUUUAGAAACGGCCAUUAUUCCCAAGGGAAGCAGCAGGUGC
This 437-nucleotide ribosomal RNA is filed under the name uncultured eukaryote. RNAcentral's name for it is "bacterial SSU rRNA". It matches the Rfam family "Eukaryotic small subunit ribosomal RNA", at positions 23 to 435 of the family's 1831-position model. The record is from RNAcentral.